AAAAAAAAAUCUAGGAGAAUACUUGGGUCGGGUCGGUUGGGUGCAAUAGACAUUUUAGAGAGAGGUUCAAAACCCUACAGAGACAGGAGGUAGAGUUGGUGGUCUCCGGUCCGGUGGAAUCAAAAUGGUGCGGACCUCGUCAUCGAAGAAGCGGAAACACGAAGAUGAUGGAGGGGCAGGGGCAGAGGCAGAGGCAGAACCUGAGGUGGCGCAGCGGAAGAGGCUCAAAGCCCUCGCCUUCUCCAACAACCAGCUCUCGGAGAUCCCUGCAAAGCCCCGCGCGCCUCUCACACCUUCAAACGGUGUCCUUAAGCAGCAUGGCAAGGACAUUGUAAAGAAAUCUCAGCGGAAGAACAAGUUCCUCUUCUCCUUCCCUGGCCUCCUUGCCCCCAUUGGAGGUGGUAAGAUCGGCGACCUCAAGGAUUUGGACACCAAGAACCCCGUCCUCUACCUCCAAUUCCCUCAGGGUCAGAUGAAGUUGUUUGGGACUCUUGUGUUCCCCAAGAACAGGUAUCUGACAAUGCAGUUCCCCAAGGGUGGAAAGAGUGUCAUGUGCGAGGACUACUUCGAUAAUAUGAUUGUAUUUUCCGAUGCUUGGUGGAUUGGGACAAAAGAUCAGAAUCCCGAGGAAGCCCAACUUGAUUUUCCUAAGGAAUUGACUGAGGGACAACACUCUGAGUUCGACUUUCAAGGUGGUGCAGGUUCAACAUCUGCCAAAAAGCAAAGUGAUAGUAAAAAUGAAACUACAUAUGUUGAAGAGUAUUCCCCACAUAACAAGGUUGAAGAUAAUUUAUCAGAUGAGGAAAACAAUGAAUUAAUGAAGGCAACGGCAGUUCGACAUUCAGCAAGAACUGCAGGAAAAAAGUUCAAGUUUGGAGAAGCUUCUUCUGGAGAUGAUUCUGUUGAAAGUGAUACCCCCUCAGCUGAAGGAGAAGAUAAAAAAGUUGGAAGACUUGAUUCUUCAUCCGGGAAGCACAGUAGUGGAAAGACUGACAAUCUCAGCUUUGGAGAUGCAGACAUUGAUAAUGAGGAUCCUAUGAAAGGAGCUCAAACUCCCAAGCAAAAUGAAGAUUCCUCUCUGUCCGAAGCUAAAUCAAAGAAAGAGUCACAUUCUGCCUUUGCUGGGACUACAUCUAAAGAGGACUCUCAUAGCAAUCAUGGUUCGCUCAUUCAAACUACUAUAUCUACAUUGUUUAAGAAAGUGGAGAAGAAGAAAGUGGACUCCAGCAUGCAAAGUCAAGUACAGCUUCCCUCUUCACAGGUUCAUAAAACACCAAAAGGCCCAAGGAAACCUGCAUCUCCCAAAGAUUCUGGCCAGAAGCCGCACCAAACGGAUUCAAGGAAGAAGGUUAAUCUGGAUGCAGGACCCAGGAAAAAGGCAAAAACUGCCAAGGAAAAGGAUGCGGGAGGCAAAAGCCUGGCAAAGAAGAAAAAAAAUGAGAUGGGGGUGGAGAUGGAAAGAUUGAAAAGAAGAGGGAAGUGGUUUAUCAGAGGGCAUCUCUAGCCAUGAUGAGGUUGAAGAGGAUGAUAUUGAAGAAAGCACCUCACAAUCGCAGGAUACGGAUCUUAGUGAUGAAGAUUGGGCUGCUUGAGGUCAGUGAUCUCACAAAUUGACACAUUGCCAUGUAUUGCUAUUUUCACUCACAUCAAACAUUAUUGUUCGGUUGUAGCGUCGUGACAUUUAAGUAAAAGUGUUCUUGAUGAUUUGGAUAGGCCUUGCCUUGUAUUGGAGAAAAGUUGAAGCAUCGGCUUCUGGACGUGGGUCCAAUUCCGAGUUGUGGUUCAGGAACUAAAAUUAAGGGAUCAUUGCUCCAUGUAAUCAUAAGUUGAGCAUUAAAGUAAACUGUACAAGGCAUUUGAAAGCGGUUUUUACCAUUUACUGAGCUACAAAUAUAUUUAGUAUAAAAAAAAAUGAGUUGA
This is an RNA transcript of Pyrus x bretschneideri (Chinese white pear), 1920 nucleotides long. It is a transcript of the gene named DNA-binding protein RHL1-like, with no coding region annotated. The record is from RefSeq and is a predicted model, not a curated record. Lineage: Eukaryota; Viridiplantae; Streptophyta; Magnoliopsida; Rosales; Rosaceae. The transcript has 13 exons.